This 473-nucleotide ribosomal RNA is filed under the name uncultured bacterium. RNAcentral describes it as "bacterial SSU rRNA". It matches the Rfam family "Bacterial small subunit ribosomal RNA", at positions 449 to 915 of the family's 1533-position model. The record is from RNAcentral.
AUACCUAUCGGCCAAUACCCGGUAGACUGACAUUACCUAUACAAGAAGCACCGGCUAACUCCGUGCCAGCAGCCGCGGUAAUACGGAGGGUGCAAGCGUUAAUCGGAAUUACUGGGCGUAAAGCGUGCGUAGGCGGUUCGUUAAGUCAGAUGUGAAAGCCCCGGGCUUAACCUGGGAACUGCAUUUGAUACUGGCGAACUAGAGUUGAGUAGAGGAGAGUGGAAUUUCAGGUGUAGCGGUGAAAUGCGUAGAGAUCUGAAGGAACACCAGUGGCGAAGGCGGCUCUCUGGACUCAAACUGACGCUGAGGUACGAAAGCGUGGGUAGCAAACAGGAUUAGAUACCCUGGUAGUCCACGCCGUAAACGAUGUCAACUAACCGUUGGGUUCUUAAAGAACUUAGUGGUGGAGCUAACGUAUUAAGUUGACCGCCUGGGGAGUACGGCCGCAAGGCUAAAACUCAAAUGAAUUGACG